UCUAUCACUAUCAUGUGCACUAUUUUGAUAUGCCCAAUUAAACAACAGCUAGAUUAUUACAGAGGGACCAAUUGUGUGACAUACUUCUUAAACUUACCAGAACUCCAAUUGCCAUCAGUUUAAUUACGGACUCUGUUUAAAUACAUCUUUCAAAAAUUAGAAAAGCUCGACUCAACUCGAGUUUAGCAUUUCUCUGCUUGAUCUGGCAAUACAAUCCAAGUUAAAUUCGAAUUCAUCCCAAAUUUGAUCAUGAACAUCCAAAGUAGAAUUCCUACUCUGCAGAUUGGAAGAUCGUUUAUCACAAUAUCAAUUUCAAGGCUAACCAAAAGACAAAUAGAACUAUUACAUGCCAAUCAUUUUGGAUGCAGCAACAAAUACAUGCAAGCAGCGAUUUAAAAAGCGCUAGGCGCCAAGGUCCAAAAACGCCCGAGGCGCUAGGCGCUCGCCCGAGCGAAGCGAGACGCUAAAAUAUAAAAAUAUAUAAUAUAAUUAAUAAAUAUAAUUAUUUAAAAUUUUAAAUAAAAAUAUGCUAUUAAAUUAAGAAAAUCUAAGAUACAAAAUCACAAUGUGACAUUAACAAAAAGUUUCAAAAUUCAAAACAAUAAAAUUUUACAUCAAAGUCAUUCAUCAUAAUCAAUAUUAUCAUCAUUUUCACACAAAUCAUCUUCAUUGAAUUCGUCUUUUUCUUCUUGUCCUUCGAUUCCUUCCUCUUCAUCAAGAUAUGUUUCAUUCUCUAUGUCUUCAACAAUAGCACGAGCCGAGCUUGAUGCUUUUGCACUCAUUUUUCUCUUUGACAUAUGUCUUGUAUAUGUUUGUAAUUCUUCAGCACCUGAAGCUCUUGCCACAUCUCCCCAUAUCAAUCUAUCAUCUUCAAAUACAAGCUCGUCUUCAGCAUCUUGCAAGUUAGCACCCAUUUCUCCUACUAACCACUCAUUUGAAUCAUCAAUAUCUUGCAAUGAGAUUGAAUCAAAUAUAUUUUGCAAAUCAUGACGAGCCUUCAAAGCUUGAUUAUACUUUAUGUAAACAAGAUCGUGCAAUCGUUGAUGUUCUAAUCGAUUUCUUCUCUUCGAGUGAAUCUGUCAUGUCAUAUAAUUUAAAAAUAUAUUAAUACAUAUAUCUAAAUAAAUAAAUUAAUUAAAACAAAAAUAUUUAGUGAUCCUUACAUGCUCAAAAACACUCCAGUUUCUCUCACAGCCCGAAGCACUACAUGUCAAACUAAGUACUUUGAUAGCAAAUUGCUGUAAGUUCGGGAUGGAAUUUCCAAAGACUCCACCAUUCAGCUGCAAAAUUUAUGUUAUUAUUAGCAAUAACAUAAUAACAUAAUAUAUAUAUAAUUAAUUAUAUUAAAUUAUUAAUACCUGGAGACGUAGUUGUUCUGGAUCGAACGGCAAUUGGAAUUCCAAAAAGACCUUCGGCAUUUUUAUAUAAAGAUAAUUCAUAAAUAAUCUUAUCUUGAACCUCAAGGCUGGGAACUAAUCUUGCAACGCACUGAUAUAACCCACUUAAAACUUCUGCAUCAAAUCCAACAUAUUUAAUCUUAUAAAAGAAUUCAGGGUUCAGAUAAUAUCCUGCUGCAUGUAAGGGACGAUGAAGUUGACAAUUCUAUCUUUCGUCAAUGAUUGUAAAAAUUUUCUCAUAUUUUUCUUCAUUUUUAUUAAAAGAUCUUUUAAUCGUCUCCUUUGCUCUAUCCAUAGCCUCAUAAAUAUAUCCCAUUGCAGGCUUAUUUUCAUUAUCCACCAACCGAAUGACUCGAACAAGAGGGUCCAUUACCUUUAAUAUAUAAACUACAUGAUUCCAAAAGGAUGGCAUUAAAAUGAUAUCAGCAGCCCUCUUGCCUUUUGCUUCUUUUGCCCUUUUGCUUGUCACCCAUUUCUCAAAGGUAAACAUAUUUCUCAAAGUAUGUUUUUGACGAUGCACGCUCUAUAAUGUCAAGAAUGAAGUAGCAAAUCAGGUGACACCAUGUCUCACUAAUUCUUUAUUCCCUGUAAAUUCUCUCAUCAUAUUCAAAGCCCCAAUGUGAUUAUAAAGAAAUCCUCUAUAAGGUUUUCUUGAUUUCUAAGAUCUUUCCAAUAUCCUCCAACAUUAAAUCAAUACAAUGUGUUGCACAUGGAGUCCAAUACAAGUGUUGUCUUUUUUAUUCAAGCAAUUUACCUGAGACAAAGGAUAACAAAAAUGAUAAGACUUAAGAGUUUAACACACUUAAUUGAAGAUAAAAUAAUUAAUAAAUUCAAAAGAUGAAUAUUACCAGCUAAAACAUAGUUGCUUCCAUUGUCGGUUAUGAUUUGAACGAUAUUUUGUUCUCCAAUUUCUUCCACGAAGUUGUCAAGUAAAUCAUAUAUCUUGUCUCCAGAUUUUACAAAAGACGAAGCAUCUAUUGACUUCACAAACAUAGUCCCUAAAGAACAAUUAACCAUAAAAUUAAUUAUACUCCUGCGCCUCCUGUCAGUCCAAACAUCUGACAUAAUAGAGCAACUAUGUGUUGCCCAUGAUUCUUUAUGACCCUUUAGUAAGUCAUUUGUAUAAUUCAACUCUUUUUGCAACAAUGGAACUCGCAUCUCAUAAUAACUUGAAGGUUUUAAUCCUGCACCAUAUCUUCCAAUAGCUUCAAUCAUAUCCUUAAAACUGUCUAAACGAGUUGUACUAAGGGGAAGACCAGCCUAAUAGAAGAAGCGAGCAAUGUGCUGAAUUGUUCUUCCUCUUAUUUCUUUAUCACAAGCAUCACUUAUAUUUGUUUGUCUAAAUUUUGAGCCUUCUGCUUGCCCUUGUUGUUUCUGGGAUCCUUGAAACAUAUAUAGAUCCAUCGGUCCUUUUUUACCUUUCUUAGUACUCAUAACUUCUUUUCCUUUUUUGUCAUAUACUUUUUUUUCACUUGGGUUAAUACUCAUAGAAUAAUCUUCUUCUUCAUCCCUGAGAUGUUCAACAUUGUCUUCUGAUAAAUUCCCGUAAGAUUCAUUCUUUUGUGUCUUCUUUUCAUUCAUAUAACUCAGCAACUCUUCUUUUACCUCAGGUGGACACUUUUUGCAAGCUGCUGCAUUCUUGAAAUUUCCUACUAGAUGUUGUUUUGCACGAAAAAUACCACCUCUAGUAGUCUUAUAACAGAAUAUGUAAGUCACUGCAUUAUGAUCUUUCGGAUCCUUCAAAAAAUUAUACUUCCAUGCAGGAUCUUUUUUUGAUACCAUUGGAGACUCUAUUGAGUUGCUCUCUACACUUGUCAUUUAUGUUGAAACCUAACAAUAAUUUCAAAUAAAUAAAAAUUAACAAUAUUAAAAUCAAAAUAAUAUAUUAUUAAUCUAUUAACAGUAUUGAAAAUUAAUCAUUUCAAAUAAACUUAUUAUUAACAGUAUAAGCCUGCUGAUUGAGAAAAAAGGAAGCAACAGCGGCGAGCGACGGCAGCGGCGAGCGACGACAGCAGCGGCGGCAGCGGUGAGCAACAGCAGCGGUAGUGAGAGCGAGAGCGGGAGCGGCGAGCAGCGGGAGGCGCGAGCGGUGACAGCGGCAGCGUUUGCGAGCAGCGACAGAGGCGAGCAAUGGCAGCGGGAGCAGGAGCGGCGAGCAGCGGGAGGCGCGAGCGACGACAAAGGCAGCGUUUACGAGCAGCGACAGCGGCGAGCAGCGGGAGGCGCGAGCGGCGACAACGGAAGCGUUUGCGAGCAGCGAUAGCGGCAAGCAGCGAGAUCGGGAGCGGCAGCGGCAGUGACGAGGGUUAGGGUUGGGUUCUCACUUAUAUCGAUUUUAGUUGGUUCGAUUGAACCAACUAACCAUCAGAGACUGAACCAGGACCGAACCAGACCUAAAAUCCUGGUUCAGUCGCCUUGGUUAACCCAGGCACUCGCCCGAAGCGCCCAGCGCCUGGGCUCGGGCGAGCGCCCAGGCGGAGCCUGUUUGAAGCGCGUCGCUUGGGAGAUUAGCGAGGCGCUCAAGCCUCGCCUCAGCUCGCCCGGGCGCCUAGGCGAGCGCCCGAGCGCCUUGUUAAAUCACUACAUGCAAGACAUAGAUUAUGCGUCAUUGACAUUACGAAUGGACUCAAGUCUCCCAAGAGUGAUGAAAUAUCCAAUCGAGUAUGGAAAUAGCACCAUUCACAUGUAAUUCACUAUAGGCCAAUGUUGACACAUGUUGCAUGGUUUACUGCUUAUAAUUACAGCGAGCAACUUCUACUAUAAUAGCUGGUGAAUGAGAGAAUCUUGCAACUCAUAUAACAGCACCUAGCAAACUGCUGUUCAGAAAUAUGCUCGAAGUGCCAAAAUGACAAGGUCCAUCAUGAUUGUAAAAAACCAAAUUAGAUCUAUCAGUCUAUAAGCAAAGACUACAAUAUUAAACCUAGAUCAUACAAUAAUUCAAUAAUAAAAUUCAUGGUUGAAGCCAUAGCAGAAUUGGUACCGGAAUCUGGAUAAGCUAUGAACAAUAUGAUCAAGACUGGCUUAGGAUGAUCAAACCAGAUUGGUGGCAAUGGAAUCGGUUGAGAAAAUAAUUUCAUAAUAAAACACAAAAAAAUACAAAAAUGGCAAAACACAAAGAUACAAAAUAUGAUCAGAAAAUAAAAAAUGUGCUAAAAAGGUUUCUAUCUUCACAUUUACAAUAUGUCUAUCUUUUACAAGAACACAUAUGAAAUUGAAUUAUAAUGAAUAAAAAAUUUAUCGAAUUUACCUAAAAAUAUUACCCAUUUUUAUCUAGGAGUUUCCCUCUUUUCAGAAUUUACCUGAGGAUGGCUCAAUAUGUUCAAAUACCCAAAAGCCCAUGAACCGGUUCACUGAAUUAUCCAGUUUAAAUGAACUAAAUUGAUUCAGAUUCCAUCAAAUUAGAUUUAGGAAGUUCCUAAAAUAACCAAAAUACAACAAACAGAAUAAUUGUUUAAGUCAUGUUUUCCUUUGACACUAAAAUUUUGUGGUGAGUUGGACAAACUUUAUGGUGUUCCAAAUUGUGUUACACUAGAUUGCAUAAUCAAGAUAAAAAUGUAUCAAAUUGGACUACAAAAUUCACUAAAAUUAAUUUAAAAAAUAUAAAAAUCAAUGGAGUAACUAUUUAUAUUGAUGAUUAAAGUCUGAGUCAAAAAUCUGAGGUGAGUUGGAAAAAAAUAAUGGGAUUACACUUAUAAAUGAAUUCAAUUGCAGACUUAACUCGAUUGCAGAAUCAUAGAGUAAUUUAUUUUCAUUUCGAUUCUGAAAUCAAAUGUAAUAAAAUUCAUUUAUGGACAUAACACCAUAAAUUUAUUCAAC
This 5213-nucleotide long non-coding RNA is filed under the name Musa acuminata (dwarf banana). RNAcentral's name for it is "long non-coding RNA (MACU_LNC000453)". The record is from RNAcentral. Lineage: Eukaryota; Viridiplantae; Streptophyta; Magnoliopsida; Zingiberales; Musaceae.